Long non-coding RNA from Zonotrichia leucophrys gambelii, 676 nucleotides. RefSeq lists it as uncharacterized. The transcript is spliced from 3 exons. NCBI's taxonomy places the organism in Eukaryota, Metazoa, Chordata, Aves, Passeriformes, Passerellidae. The record is from RefSeq and is a predicted model, not a curated record.
UAAAGGGAAGGGCAUUCCUGCAAGGGAUGGUAGAUAAAGAGCUCCACACUUCUAGUUUCAAGCUGCUUUAUUCAGCAGUCCUGAGUGUUAUCUUACAGCUACUGCUUUUGCCAGCAUUUAGAGUGUGGGUUCCUUAGUUCGGCAUCCUUGCUUUGGGAAGGAGGAUUCUCCUCUGAGUGCUACAUUGAGUGCUGAUACAGAGAAGUUUUGGAGCCAUCCCAACAGUGAGCUUCACUGGAUGAAAGAUAUUGUGCAGUAGAUACAGAGAGGCCAGCUCACCUGUCGGCUACAAUACCAUCAGCUUCACUACACACCAGCUUUGAGCAUACUCCAGCAGCUUGGAAAAAGCACAACUACUUGGGAAAAUGCAGGUCAGAAAUGCCCCCCAAGAUGCCAAGAAAAUAGCACUUAUUUUGGCAAACACUUGUUUUGAAUAUAACCUUCCAACAGCUCUGUGAUCCUCCUGGCCCUUGUGUAGUCCAGGAGCUCUGGGCACCCUGAAAGAACGGGAAGUCUUUGAACCUCACUUCAUUGUUCACACUGCUGUUAUCAUGCCUGGUUUGCCCGUGCUGACAGAUGAUGGUUUUUGGCACAUACGAUAAUCCUAACUACUGUUCUUCACUUCAGUCCUGUCCUCAUUGCUCCUGAUGUAAGGGCCAGGUUGUCUGUGUGCCAC